UUCGCGGGGAUCCGCUGGAUGCAGGCAG
RNAcentral lists this small RNA (28 nucleotides) under Bombyx mori (domestic silkworm). RNAcentral describes it as "ovarian small RNA-9647". Lineage: Eukaryota; Metazoa; Arthropoda; Insecta; Lepidoptera; Bombycidae. The record is from RNAcentral.